GGCUAUGCAUCGGGUGGGGCUAAGAAUGUUAGUCGCGCGCCUUCUAGCUAUGUUGGAGGCGCGGCAUACCGCUCAGUAGCACGUGGCUAACCUACCCUUGGGACGGAGACAUCCCCGGGAAACUGGGGCUAAUUUCCGAUAGGCGAAGCUCCCUGGAAUGGGUUUUCACUUAAAGGGCGCUUAGAUCAUGCUUCUAGGCGUUGCCCAAGGACGGGGCCGCGGCCGAUCAGGUUGUUGGUGAGGUAACGGCUCACCAAGCCUAUAACCGGUGCGGGCCGUGGGAGCGGAAGCCCGGAGAUGGGUACUGAGACAAGGGCCCAGGCCCUACGGGGCGCAGCAGUCGCGUAAACUUCACAAUAAGCGAAAGCUUGAUGGGGCCAUCCCGAGUGCCAUCCGCUGAGGAUGGCUUUUACCCAGUAUAGUUAGCUGGGGGAAUAAGGAGAGGGCAAGUCUGGUGUCAGCCGCCGCGGUAAUGCCAGCUCUCCGAGUGGUGGGGAUGAUUAUUGGGCCUGAAGCAUCCGUAGCUUGCUGAACAAGUCCCCUGUUAAACCCAGCGAUUCAAUCGUUGGUCUGCGGGGGAUACUGUUCGGCUUGGGGGCGGGAGAGGCUGUCGGUAUUCUCGGGGUAGGGGUGGAAUCCUAUAAUCCCGGGAGGACCACCAGUGGCGAAGGCUGUCAGCUAGCACGCGCCCGACGGUGAGGGAUGAAAGCUGGGGGAGCGAACCGGAUUAGAUACCCGGGUAGUCCCAGCUGUAAACGAUGCAGGCUAGGUGUUUGGGCGGCUACGUGCCGCUCUAGUGCCGCAGGGAAACUGUUAAGCCUGCCGCCUGGGAGUACGGCCGCAAGGCUGAACUUAAAG
RNAcentral lists this ribosomal RNA (858 nucleotides) under uncultured archaeon. Its description in RNAcentral is "bacterial SSU rRNA". It matches the Rfam family "Archaeal small subunit ribosomal RNA", at positions 28 to 861 of the family's 1478-position model. The record is from RNAcentral.